RNAcentral lists this ribosomal RNA (465 nucleotides) under Vreelandella stevensii. RNAcentral describes it as "partial 16S ribosomal RNA". It matches the Rfam family "Bacterial small subunit ribosomal RNA", at positions 338 to 795 of the family's 1533-position model. Lineage: Bacteria; Pseudomonadati; Pseudomonadota; Gammaproteobacteria; Oceanospirillales; Halomonadaceae. The record is from RNAcentral.
CCUACGGGAUGCAGCAGUGGGGAAUAUUGGACAAUGGGCGAAAGCCUGAUCCAGCCAUGCCGCGUGUGUGAAGAAGGCCUUCGGGUUGUAAAGCACUUUCAGUGGGGAAGAAAGCCUUGGGGCUAAUACCCUCGAGGAAGGACAUCACCCACAGAAGAAGCACCGGCUAACUCCGUGCCAGCAGCCGCGGUAAUACGGAGGGUGCGAGCGUUAAUCGGAAUUACUGGGCGUAAAGCGCGCGUAGGCGGUCUGAUAAGCCGGUUGUGAAAGCCCCGGGCUCAACCUGGGAACGGCAUCCAGAACUGUCAGGCUAGAGUGCAGGAGAGGAAGGUAGAAUUCCCGGUGUAGCGGUGAAAUGCGUAGAGAUCGGGAGGAAUACCAGUGGCGAAGGCGGCCUUCUGGACUGACACUGACGCUGAGGUGCGAAAGCGUGGGUAGCAAACAGGAUUAGAUACCCCAGUAGUC